UGAUUCCUAUCCCUCUGGUGGGUGGAGCUUUGUCUUUGGGUGAGAUUAGAGGCUCGGUGGUGUGCCUAGGGGUGUCCUUUUACUGAUGGGAGGGGCUGUGAUCUCGCUUGGAUUAUUGUUUGGCCUGAGGCUUCUCAGUGCUGAUAGGUAGGGCCAGAUUUUCCCAAAAUGGCCAUCUCUAGAGAAAGGCAGGCUGAUGAAUAUUCCUGAGAGCUUUGCCUCCAAAGUCCUUUCCCCACAACGAGCCACAGUCAUCCCCUGUUUUCCAGGGAGGUCCUCCAAGAACUGCAGUCAGGUCUGACCCAGAUUCCUAUGGAGCCUUUGCUUUGCCCUGGAACCCAGUGCACAUGAAAGUCUGUGUGCGCCUUUCAAGAAUGGGGUCUCCGUUUCCCCUGGUCCUGUGGAGCUCCUGUGCACAAGCCCCACUGGCCUUCAAGGCCAGAUGCUCCGGGGGUCUUUUCUCUCAGUGCCAGAUCCCUAUAUGGCGUGGGGAUUUGACAUGGGGCUCAGAACUCACUCCUGUAGGUGAGUCUCUGUGAUAGUUACUUUCCAGUCUGUGGGCUUCCCACCCAGAGGUAUUGGGUUGCUUAUAUUGUGUAAUUGCCCCUCCUACUCUUGAUGUGGCCUUCUCUUUGUCUUCUGGAGGAGGAUAUCUUUUUGAAAGUUUCUAGUCCAUUUGGUUGAAGGUUGCUCAGCAUUAGCUUGUAAUUUUGUUGUGUUUAUGAGAGAAGUUGAGCUCCCCUUCUAUUCCUCCAUCUUAAUCCCAUCUCUCUGUUGAAUAGUAAUGAAAGAACAGAAAAAUCUCUGACAUUUGGGAACUUUAAGGGAAAAAAAUUAUAAUUUUCUUAGAAUUCUUUUGAAUUAUUAGGGUAUGCUUUGCUGGUAUUAAAUGUGUAUAUUUAAAAUUGUGAAUUGAUUUUAAGUUUUAAGUAUUUUUAAAAUAUGUUUGGAAGAAAAAACAUUUUUCUACACAUUUCUGAUUUUUAUGAUGAGCCAUAUUGAGUAGUUUAAAUCUAAAAUAAAAAACGCCUUUAGGAGUGGCUUUGGGAUUUACAAUUUAGAAGAAGUAAUGGGGUUUUGUUUUUGUUUCUGUUUUUGUAAGAAAUGGAAUUAGUGUAACUGCUUCAUGACCUCUGAAGCUUAAAUUAGAAAGAAAUUCAAUGAAUUGUGUGGUAUAAACUUGACUAUUUUACUCCUUUAAAUAACUUAAAUUUCAGACUAGUGUAGUCAAAUUCUGCAUGUAAAUACUUGUAUCUGUUGUAUAAGUUUAAGUUCCUGAAGACACUGUAUAAGGUUAAAUUCCUAAAAACAUUGUUUAUAAAUCUGAUUAUAAUUUUAUAUAUAUAGUCUUACAUGCAUGCUUGUACAUGUAUGUAAUUGCACGCAGCAUUGUGGAAUGCUUUACUGGAGCACAUGAAAAAUUACAUAAUCUUCUAUAAGACUAUUUUAUGUAACAUAAGUGCACGAUUUCAUCAGCCUGAAGUGCAGAAGAAGGUCAUGAUUCUUUUUUAUUUUUAUUAAAAAAAAAUUUUUUUUUUUGUCUUUUUGCCUUUCC
Molecule: long non-coding RNA, 1555 nt
Filed under: Sus scrofa (pig)
Lineage: Eukaryota; Metazoa; Chordata; Mammalia; Artiodactyla; Suidae
Description: lncRNA (ENSSSCG00065077748.1)
Source: RNAcentral